AUGACAGAAAGUACAACUGCUGGCACAACAACUUCAGAAAGUACAACACCAGAGACCACAACAAGAGAAAGUACCACCCCCGGGACAACAACCGAGACCACAACAACAGAAAGUACCACCACAGUCACCACAACUGAGAUCACAACAACAGAAGGAGCCACCACUCCGGAAAGUACUACCACAGAGACCACAACAACAGAAAGCACCAUCACCGGUACCACAACUCCAGAAAGCCCCACAAUGACAGAAAGUACAACCACUGGUACCACCACUACAGAGAGUACACCAAUGGAAACCACAACAACAGAAAGUACUACCACCGGCACACCAACCAAGGCCAUAACAAUAGAAAGUACCACCAAUGGAACCACAACAGAGAUCACUACAACAGAAGGCACUACCAAUCCAGAAAAUAUUACCACAGAGACCACAACAACAGAAAGUACCACCAUCGGUACCACAACUCUAGAAAGCACCACAAUGAUAGAAAUUACAACCACUGGCACCACCACUCCAGAAAGUACAACAACGGAGACCACAAAAACAGAAAGCACCACUAUUGCUACCACAACUCCUGAAAGCACCACAAUGUUAGAAAAUACAACCACAGGCACAACCGUUUCAGAAACUACAACAACACAGACCACAAUAACAGAAAGUACCACCACAACUGAGAUCACAACAACAGAAGGCACCACCACUACAGAAAGUACUACCACUGGCACCACCACCCCAGAAAGUACAGCAAUGGAGAUCACAACAACAGAAAGCACCACCACUGGUACCACAACACCCGAAAGCACCACAAUGACAGAACGUACAACCACUGGCACCACAACAACAGAAAGCACCACCACUGGUUUCACAACUCCAGAAAGCACCGCAAUGACAGAAAGUACAACCAGUGGCACCACCACUUCAGAAAGUACAACAACAGAGACCACAACAACAGAAAGCACAACCCCUGAAAUUACAACUUCAGAAAGUACAACAAUGGAAACCACAACUACAGAAAGCACCACAACAGACACUACAAAAACAGAAAGCACCACCACAGAUACCACAACACCAGAAAGCACAACAACUGAGACCACAACAACAGAAGGCACCACCACUACAGAAAGUACUACCACUGGCACCACCACACCAGAAAGUACAACAAUGGAGAUCACAACAACAGAAAGUACCAGCACAACUGAGUUCACAACAACAGAAGGCACCACCACUACAGAAAGUACUACCAUAGAUAACACAACAACAGAAAGCACCACAAUGACAGCACAUACAACCACUGGCACCACCACUCCAGAAAGUACAAAAAAGCAGACCACAACAACAGAAGAUGCCACCACAACUGAGAUCACAACAGAAGAAACCACCACUACAGAAAGUAGUACUAUAGAGACCACAACAACAGAAACCACCACCACUGGUACCACAACUCCAGAAAGCACCGCAAUGACAGAAAGUACAACCAGUGGCACCUACACAACAGAGACCACAACAACAGAAAGCAGCACCCCUGGAAUUACAACUUCAGAAAGUACAACAAUGGAAACCACAAAUACAGACGAUACCAUAACUACAGAAAGCACCACAACAGACACUAUAACAACAGAAAGCACGACCAAAGGUACCACAAAACCAGAAAGCACAACAACUGAGACCACAACAAUAGAAAGCACCACCACAGGCACCACAACAGAGACCAUAACAACAGAAAGCACCACCACUGGUUCUACAACUCCAGAAAGCACAACAGUGUUAGAAAGUACAACCACUGGCACCACUACUCCAGAAAGUACAACAACAGAGACCACAACAACAGAAAGUACCACCCCCGAGACAACAACAGAGACCACAACAAUAGAAAGUACCACCACAACUGAGAGCACAACAACAGAAGGAACCACCACUACAGAAAAUACUACCACAGAGAUCACAACAACAGAAAGCACUAACACCGGUAUCACAACUUCAGAAAGCACCACAAUGACAGAAAGUACAACAACAGAAAGUACCACCACUGGUAUUACAACUUCAGAAAGUCCAACAAUGGAAUCCAAAUUUACAGAAACCACCACACCAGACACUACAACCACAGAAAACACCACUACAGGUACCACAACACCAGAAAGCACAACAACCGAGACCACACCAAUAGAAAAUACCACCACAGGCCCCAUAACAGAUAUCAUAAAAACAGAAACCACCAUCACUGGUUCUACAACUCCAGAAAGCACAACCGUUUUAGAAAGUACAACCACUGGCACCAAUACUCCAGAAAGUACAACAACGGAGACCACAACAACAGAAAGUACCACCCCCGGGACAACAACCGAGACCACAACGAUAGAAAGUACCACGACUGGCACCACAACAGAGCUCACGACAGCAGAAGGGACCACGACUCCAGACAGUACUACCACAGAGACCACAACAAUAGAAAGCACAACCAUUGGUACCACAACUCCAGAAAGCUCCACAAUGACAGAAAGUACAACCACUGGCACCACCACUUCAGAAAGUACAACAAUGGAAACAACAACUACAAAAAGCACCACAACAGACACUACAACAACAGAAAGCACCACCACAGGUACCUCAACACCAGAAAGUACAACCACUGGCACCACCACUUCAGAAAGUACAACAAUGGAAACAACAACUACAAAAAGCACCACAACAGACACUACAACAACAGAAAGCACC
Long non-coding RNA from Sinocyclocheilus anshuiensis, 2712 nucleotides. The record is from Ensembl. NCBI's taxonomy places the organism in Eukaryota, Metazoa, Chordata, Actinopteri, Cypriniformes, Cyprinidae.